UGAGGAAUAUUGCGCAAUGGGCGCAAGCCUGAUCCAGCCAUGCCGCGUGCAGGAUGAAGGCCUUCGGGUUGUAAACUGCUUUUGUACGGAACGAAAAGACUCCUUCUAAUAAAGGGGGUCCAUGACGGUACCGUAAGAAUAAGCACCGGCUAACUACGUGCCAGCAGCCGCGGUAAUACGUAGGGUGCGAGCGUUAAUCGGAAUUACUGGGCGUAAAGCGUGCGCAGGCGGUUAUAUAAGACAGAUGUGAAAUCCCCGGGCUCAACCUGGGAACUGCAUUUGUGACUGUAUAGCUAGAGUACGGCAGAGGGGGAUGGAAUUCCGCGUGUAGCAGUGAAAUGCGUAGAUAUGCGGAGGAACACCGAUGGCGAAGGCAAUCCCCUGGGCCUGUACUGACGCUCAUGCACGAAAGCGUGGGGAGCAAACA
RNAcentral lists this ribosomal RNA (427 nucleotides) under uncultured bacterium. RNAcentral describes it as "bacterial SSU rRNA". It matches the Rfam family "Bacterial small subunit ribosomal RNA", at positions 355 to 774 of the family's 1533-position model. The record is from RNAcentral.